UCUUUAAUGGAUAUUAUAAGACUUCAAUAAAUGACAAUAUGAACUCUAUUGACAGACCAGGAUGCAUACAGCAAAGUUUGGGAGAAAGCACAAUUGCAGAGGGGAGCACAGAGAGGCAGAAAUGACUGAAUCACCCUGCAGUAAGAAAAAGGAGGCAUGUUUGAGAGACUUGAGCAGAGAAGGACAUCAAUAAGGCUGCCACGGGAACUGGGCCACUAGACUGACCACCACAGCAGAUAAACCAGCCCAGCUCCAGGAAUGCAGAGGCAGGGACUGCACAUGUGUCUGUGUCAAAGGUCUGCACCAAAGAGCAGACAUCCCAGCAGAUAACCCAUGCAAACUGGCUCCCCAAGAGUGAAAUUGUAACAGGGUGGUCCCCAGGAAAGGGGGAGGUUCCAGGUUCCCACCCCACCCAAGGGAGGGUGGAGCUGAGCAGGGAGAGAAGAAGCUGCAGGGGAGACUGAGGAAGGAAGGAAGCAGGAUGGAGCCAGGAGGAGACCGGUAGGAGGCACGUGGAGCUGAGAGACGCAUGAAGAAACUGCUCUUGCCUUUUGGUCGUGGACUGGGUGACACAGAUGUGGGCGAGAGACCUGUGGGGAGGUGACAAUGGCAGUUUUUGUCUUGCUUUUGAUUUUGCUCUUUUCCUUCCAGGCUUGUCUGGUGGUUUCUGAUCCUUUUCUGUGGGUCCCCACUGGAAGAUGCCUUAGACCUGUGGCAGGCUUUGGGGCCUUAUUCCGGACCAAUCCCUUUGGAUGGACUUUUACCCAUGAGGCGACGGGUUACUUUGGGUACUUUAUUUAGAAACUAUAGAGACACAGUGGGUGGGGAGAGGGCAAGGAGAGGAAGGACUAGAGUCAAAAUAAGGUGGGGGUGCAAUUGUAUUGGGGAUAUAACCAAAAUGAAAAUGCAUACAUUGUGCAAAGAUGAAAAAUGA
Molecule: long non-coding RNA, 934 nt
Organism: Talpa occidentalis (Iberian mole)
Lineage: Eukaryota; Metazoa; Chordata; Mammalia; Eulipotyphla; Talpidae
Exons: 3
Source: RefSeq, a predicted model, not a curated record